Long non-coding RNA from Tympanuchus pallidicinctus (lesser prairie-chicken), 512 nucleotides. RefSeq lists it as uncharacterized. The transcript is spliced from 3 exons. Lineage: Eukaryota; Metazoa; Chordata; Aves; Galliformes; Phasianidae. The record is from RefSeq and is a predicted model, not a curated record.
GGCACUGACAUCAGCAGAGCCCAGAACUCCUCCCGCUGGCCAGCAUGGGCUCUUUCUUCCCAGCCAAAGCUCUGACUUCCACCGUCAUAGCACUGGAGCAGCACCUCAUAAAGCAGACAAACAGACACUGCUGAAUAGAACUCUGAUAGAAGGUGGAAGACGAAUUGGACUCAGUGCUUAUGGGUUCCAUCCAACUUGGGAUAAUCUAUGAUUCACAGGUUUUGAAAUUUGUGGCUUAUUGUGGAUGGCCAGAUGGAUGCAAGAGUAAAGAAGACUGUCUACUCAACAUUUUCACAGAGAAAACUGCCGAGCUGGAAUGUGAAGUCUGUGUAAGUCCAGGAGGGAAAAAGAACAGGAAUGGUCAAAAACGAAGUCCUGCGGCUAUUGGAACAUCAUCAGUUCUGGCUUCUGGAGGCCUGGUCCACCAAAUUACAACCAUGGAAGAAGGUGUUUUUAAAGUAAUUAUUUAAAUAGUGUUAAUUAGCUCUAUAAAAAUGAAAAAAAAUGAAAAA